This 375-nucleotide ribosomal RNA is filed under the name uncultured bacterium. RNAcentral's name for it is "bacterial SSU rRNA". It matches the Rfam family "Bacterial small subunit ribosomal RNA", at positions 524 to 898 of the family's 1533-position model. The record is from RNAcentral.
GACGAACCGUGCGAACGUUGUUCGGAUUCACUGGGCUUAAAGGGCGCGUAGGCGGGCGGUCAAGUCAGGGGUGAAAUCUUUCGGCUCAACCGGAAAAGUGCCUUUGAUACUGGCCGCCUCGAGGGAGGUAGGGGCAUGUGGAACUUCCGGUGGAGCGGUGAAAUGCGUAGAUAUCGGAAGGAACGCCGGUGGCGAAAGCGACGUGCUGGACCUCUUCUGACGCUGAGGCGCGAAAGCCAGGGGAGCAAACGGGAUUAGAUACCCCGGUAGUCCUGGCCCUAAACGAUGGGUACUGGGUAGUGGACUUAACAUGGGUUCACUGCCGAAGCAAAAGUGUUAAGUACCCCGCCUGGGGAGUAUGGUCGCAAGGCUGAA